AAUGGAAAGUAGGCUAACUUGUCGCAUCGAUCGAUGGUCACUGUAACAUCAUCAUAACUCCAUAUGUACAAUAUACCUCAUAUUGGAAGCUUAUGGUGAUAUUUCCCAUCCUUAUACAAAUAUAGGAAGUGAUUAUUACCAUCCAAACAAUUUAUUGAUAUCUCAUAGGUAAUGUCAAAACAAUACUUGUGAAUUCCAACUGAGAUGGGAUAGGACAAGCUAUAUUAGCACCACCAGGGUAAUACACAGUGCAAUCGUAGACGCUGAUUUGGUUAUUCCAUCAUCGCUAUCAUAAAUUUUAGCUUAUCUGAAAUGAAGAUGUAUUUGAGAAAUCUAAGGUUGGUAAAGGUUCUAGACAUGUUUCUCACCAAGAAGUGCCAUCCGAUAUUUCAAAUGAAGAUAAUAACAAUUGACUCUAAGUAAUGAAUAUGAUGGUUCAUUUUCAACAGUUUUAACCGUUGGAAUGUAUAAACGAUUCUCGGUCAUGCUGCCUUAGCACAGUCGAAACAUCCAGAGAACAUAUCAUCACGGAUAUUCAAAUGAUCAAUGUCAUCGAAAGGUGUAACACGAAGGUAGGUUGAGACAACAAUUUAGUUGUCAUAAGCUUUAUUCAUAACUAACAUCAAAACUAAACUAACUUUCCUCGGUUGUGAGUGAGGAAAAACAUUAUAGUCGAAAAUCGCUAACCAAUUGUCAAUAAAAUAGAUAAGACCAAAGAUAUCUCAAAAUUCACAAUACUUUGAGAGAAUUUGUACUUUCUUCUGCUACAAUCUUUUUGGAAAAAGAAAGGAAUAUCCUCUGAUGAGUUCACGUCUCCCUAGAAAAGUACCAAUUUAAUCAAAGUUAACAGUUGAGGAAUUUGAUAUAAAGCUGACUGUUG
RNAcentral lists this long non-coding RNA (880 nucleotides) under Malus domestica (apple). RNAcentral's name for it is "long non-coding RNA (MDOM_LNC019372)". Lineage: Eukaryota; Viridiplantae; Streptophyta; Magnoliopsida; Rosales; Rosaceae. The record is from RNAcentral.